RNAcentral lists this long non-coding RNA (529 nucleotides) under Sinocyclocheilus grahami. Its description in RNAcentral is "lncRNA (ENSSGRG00000021111.1)". Lineage: Eukaryota; Metazoa; Chordata; Actinopteri; Cypriniformes; Cyprinidae. The record is from RNAcentral.
CAGCUACCUGUGAUUUUCUAAUGAUCCUGAAGACAUUGAUUAGCAUGCUCAGGUGUGUUUGAUUAGGGUUAGAGCUAAACUCUGCAGGAAAGUGGAUCUUGUGGGCCAGAUUUGAGGAUCCCUGCUCUAGGCCCAUUCACAGAAAGCCUUCUGCUUUUCCAUGUUAUCUGAUCUUGGGAAUUUCCUCACUAGUUUAAGAUCUUCGAAGAUACACAUGUGAUGCCUUUACUCACCUCCUGCAUCACCAGCACGUUUAUCUUGAAGAGGAAAGGUGGUUUAAACGAACCAGAUCACCGCACAUGUGGGCGAGAAGGUUCACUGUCCUCACUGGAAUCAGGCAGAUGCCAUCGCUCCGAGCCAUUCCGAGAUGGUAUGUGGGACAAAUGAGCAUCAGAUAUGACCUUCCACACAAGCAGCUGUUGUAGGUUCUUUGGAACUACAUCAUUGACCUUGGAGAAGAUGGUAUUACGCUAACCAGGGGGCUGAAACCGCAAUCCUCUCACUCUACAAACCUGUCUGGGCCUUCUGC